UUUUGUUGGGAAAGCUGUAAAGUGAAGAUCCAAAAUGACUGGGGCCAGGAAAGCCUUGGACAAGAACAACCUCCAAAGGGGGAGCAUGGGCCUGAGGCCUGAGGCCUGUUUACCAGGCUGCACCCCAUGGGGCCCAGAGGGAUCUUUCCAGCCACUUGAAGAUUCGAAGAAAGAGAGAGUUUGGGACCAGCAAACCUUUGAACAAGAGCUUUUUCCAGCGGGGAAUGUGGUCCUGAGGCCUGUUUGACAGGCUGCACCCUGUGGGGGCUCAGAACACGCAGGACUGGGCUCACACAUAGAAGAAAGUAAGUUGGUAGAUUGAGCCAAAGUCCUACAAUUUGGUGACCCCAACGUGAUGAAGACGGAGAAGUGACGGAAAAGAGAGAAAAAUAGAAACAACGGACAACUGACGUCUGAUGACAACAAGCGG
Molecule: non-coding RNA, 430 nt
Organism: Chiloscyllium plagiosum (whitespotted bambooshark)
Lineage: Eukaryota; Metazoa; Chordata; Chondrichthyes; Orectolobiformes; Hemiscylliidae
Source: RefSeq, a predicted model, not a curated record